Molecule: non-coding RNA, 76 nt
Organism: Pelobates cultripes (western spadefoot toad)
Lineage: Eukaryota; Metazoa; Chordata; Amphibia; Anura; Pelobatidae
Source: the annotation of a GenBank genome assembly
UCUGUGAGUGUGUGUGUGUGUGUGUGUGUGUACGUAUAUAUAUAUAUACAUAUACACACACACACACACGCAGAAC